Molecule: ribosomal RNA, 198 nt
Filed under: uncultured bacterium
Lineage: Bacteria
Description: partial 16S ribosomal RNA
Rfam family: Bacterial small subunit ribosomal RNA
Source: RNAcentral
ACGCUCGACACCUACGGGAGGCGGCAGUGGGGAAUAUUGCACAAUGGGGGAAACCCUGAUGCAGCGACGCCGCGUGGAGGAAGAAGGUCUUCGGAUUGUAAACUCCUGUUGUUGGGGAAAAAGAGGAUGGUACCCAACAAGGAAGUGACGGCUAACUACGUGCCAACAGCUGCGGUAAUCUGAGCGGGCUGGCAAGGC